RNAcentral lists this ribosomal RNA (912 nucleotides) under uncultured archaeon. RNAcentral's name for it is "bacterial SSU rRNA". It matches the Rfam family "Archaeal small subunit ribosomal RNA", at positions 4 to 922 of the family's 1478-position model. The record is from RNAcentral.
CCGGUUGAUCCUGCCGGACCCGACUGCUAUCAGAGUGAGAUUAAGCCAUGCGAGUCAACGUAGCAAUACAAGGCAGACGGCUCAGUAACGCGUAGUCAAUCUACCCUAUGGACGGGAAUAACCUCGGGAAACUGAGAAUAAUACCCGACAGAACAUUAUACCUGGAACGGUUUAUGUUUCAAAUGAUUUAUCGCCGUAGGAUGGGACUGCGGCCUAUCAGUUUGUUGGUGAGGUAAUGGCCCACCAAGACUAUUACAGGUACGGGCUCUGAGAGGAGUAGCCCGGAGAUGGGUACUGAGACACGGACCCAGGCCCUAUGGGGCGCAGCAGGCGAGAAAACUUUGCAAUGUGCGAAAGCACGACAAGGUUAAUCCGAGUGGUUUCUGCUAAAGAAACCUUUUGCUAGUCCUAGAAACACUAGUGAAUAAGGGGUGGGCAAGUUCUGGUGUCAGCCGCCGCGGUAAAACCAGCACCUCAAGUGGUCAGGAUGAUUAUUGGGCCUAAAGCAUCCGUAGCUCGUUUUGUAAGUUUUCGGUUAAAUCCAUACGCUUAACGUAUGGGCUGCCGGGAAUACUGCAUAACUAGGAAGUGGGAGAGGUAGACGGUACUCGGUAGGAAGGGGUAAAAUCCUUUGAUCUAUUGAUGACCACCUGUGGCGAAGGCGGUCUACCAGAACACGUUCGACGGUGAGGGAUGAAAGCUGGGGGAGCAAACCGGAUUAGAUACCCGGGUAGUCCCAGCUGUAAACUAUGCAAACUCAGUGAUGCAUUGGCUUGUGGCCAAUGCAGUGCUGCAGGGAAGCCGUUAAGUUUGCCGCCUGGGAAGUACGUACGCAAGUAUGAAACUUAAAGGAAUUGGCGGGGGAGCACCACAAGGGGUGAAGCCUGCGGUUCAAUUGGAUUCAACGCCGGG